CCUACGGGUGGCAGCAGUGAGGAAUAUUGGUCAAUGGGCGCGAGCCUGAACCAGCCAAGUCGCGUGAGGGAUGACGGUCCUACGGAUUGUAAACCUCUUUUGCCGGGGAGCAAGCGUGCGUUCGUGAACGCGCGUCGAGAGUACCCGGAGAAAAAGCAUCGGCUAACUCCGUGCCAGCAGCCGCGGUAAUACGGGGGGUGCAAGCGUUGUCCGGAAUCAUUGGGCGUAAAGAGUUCGUAGGUGGCACGUUAAGUCUGGUGUUAAAGGCGGAAGCUCAACUUCCGUAGGGCACUGGAUACUGGCGAGCUUGAAUGCGGUAGAGGUAAAGGGAAUUCCUGGUGUAGCGGUGAAAUGCGUAGAUAUCAGGAGGAACAUCGGUGGCGUAAGCGCUUUACUGGGCCGUAAUUGACACUGAGGAACGAAAGCCGGGGUAGCAAAUGGGAUUAGAUACCCCAGUAGUC
Molecule: ribosomal RNA, 461 nt
Filed under: uncultured bacterium
Lineage: Bacteria
Description: partial 16S ribosomal RNA
Rfam family: Bacterial small subunit ribosomal RNA
Source: RNAcentral